UACAACAUUCACCGUCGCCUGCGGCGUCGUCUCGUUGGCUCACUAGGUCCUGCUUCCUUCGUUUCGCAUUCAUUCCCAUCUCAUCUUGGAGGAUCACGGCGAGAGAUCGGCCUAUGAACGUGUGUAUCAUCCCUGAUGACAAGUUUUUAGCAUCAGGCGAGGCCUGGCGUCAAGUUCCUUGGUCUUACAGAUCACGGAGCGGCGAGAUGGUCUCUUCGGAUAAGAUCAGGGAGCAGCGAGAUGGCUGCAGAGACCAGUGAUCAUGGUGCUCUCUAUUCUAUACAAGCUGGAAUGGGCAGAUUGAUCCCAUCAUCUCGUUCUGGAGACGGCGUUUGUCUCAUCUGAUGGAUCGCGUCUGACUUGCUUCUAGAGACGGACGUUUCUCUCAUCUUAUGGAUCGAUCGCACCUGACUUAAAUUUUGUUUAUUUCAAGCUAGGUUCACAAUUAUGACUUUUUUCCGUGGAACAUGUAUGAACUCGUACUGCAUGUGCUUCAAUCAUUAUGUACACAUAUUUUAUUUAUUCUAAUAAAAAAUAGUUAAAUACA
Molecule: long non-coding RNA, 547 nt
Organism: Sorghum bicolor (sorghum)
Lineage: Eukaryota; Viridiplantae; Streptophyta; Magnoliopsida; Poales; Poaceae
Exons: 3
Source: RefSeq, a predicted model, not a curated record